Pelobates cultripes (western spadefoot toad) is the source of this 280-nucleotide non-coding RNA. Lineage: Eukaryota; Metazoa; Chordata; Amphibia; Anura; Pelobatidae. The record is from the annotation of a GenBank genome assembly.
AUAACAGUUGGGUCAGCUAUAAAACAUGCACAAUUUUAUAUUUAUGUGAUGAGCAAAAUUGUUGGAUUCGUCACUUAGCUUAUGUGGCUGGUUCUAUAGCAAGUAUCAACAUCUGUAUCCAACAUAAACUUUCAAGUUUAACUUCGAUUAUCUAUCUUAGAAUGAUAUACAGGCUAGUCAAACGUGGGAUUGUCUAGGUCUACAUAUGCAUAUUCAUUCAGUGUUUCACUACCUCUUCUAAGCAAUAUAAUAGGAGUUUGCUUGAAACCUGAGUCUGCAU